RNAcentral lists this ribosomal RNA (443 nucleotides) under uncultured Syntrophaceticus sp. RNAcentral describes it as "bacterial SSU rRNA". It matches the Rfam family "Bacterial small subunit ribosomal RNA", at positions 338 to 795 of the family's 1533-position model. The record is from RNAcentral. Lineage: Bacteria; Bacillati; Bacillota; Clostridia; Thermoanaerobacterales; Thermoanaerobacterales Family III. Incertae Sedis.
CCUACGGGUGGCAGCAGUGGGGAAUAUUGCGCAAUGGGCGGAAGCCUGACGCAGCGACGCCGCGUGGGUGACGAAGGCCUUCGGGUCGUAAAACCCUGUUGCAGGGGACGAAGGAAGUGACGGUACCCUGUGAGGAAGCCCCGGCUAACUACGUGCCAGCAGCCGCGGUAAAACGUAGGGGGCGAGCGUUGUCCGGAAUUACUGGGCGUAAAGAGCUCGUAGGCGGUAGCUCAAGUCAGCUGUGAAAACCGACGGCUUAACCGGAGGAUUGCAGUUGAUACUGGGUUACUUGAGGCAAGGAGAGGAAGGUGGAAUUCCCAGUGUAGCGGUGAAAUGCGUAGAUAUUGGGAGGAACACCAGUGGCGAAGGCGACUACCUGGACGAUAACUGACGCUGAGGCACGAAAGCUAGGGGAGCAAACAGGAUUAGAUACCCUAGUAGUC